Molecule: ribosomal RNA, 198 nt
Filed under: uncultured bacterium
Lineage: Bacteria
Description: partial 16S ribosomal RNA
Rfam family: Bacterial small subunit ribosomal RNA
Source: RNAcentral
ACGCUCGACACCUACGGGAGGGAGCAGUGGGGAAUAUUGCACAAUGGAGGAAACUCUGAUGCAGCGAUGCCGCGUGAGGGAAGAAGGUUUUCGGAUUGUAAACCUCUGUCUUUGGGGACGAUAAUGACGGUACCCAAGGAGGAAGCUCCGGCUAACUACGUGCCAGCAGCCGCGGUAAUCUGAGCGGGCUGGCAAGGC